AUUAGCUCAGUUGGUUAGAGCGUCGGAUUGUGGUUCCGAAGGUCGUGGGUUCGAGACCCACAUU
Molecule: transfer RNA, 64 nt
Filed under: human gut metagenome
Also listed under: 3 other names
Rfam family: tRNA
About the family: Transfer RNA (tRNA) molecules are approximately 80 nucleotides in length. Their secondary structure includes four short double-helical elements and three loops (D, anti-codon, and T loops). Further hydrogen bonds mediate the characteristic L-shaped molecular structure. tRNAs have two regions of fundamental functional importance: the anti-codon, which is responsible for specific mRNA codon recognition, and the 3' end, to which the tRNAs corresponding amino acid is attached (by aminoacyl-tRNA synthetases). tRNAs cope with the degeneracy of the genetic code in two manners: having more than one tRNA (with a specific anti-codon) for a particular amino acid; and 'wobble' base-pairing, i.e. permitting non-standard base-pairing at the 3rd anti-codon position.
Source: RNAcentral